This 1310-nucleotide ribosomal RNA is filed under the name Enterobacter roggenkampii. Its description in RNAcentral is "partial 23S ribosomal RNA". It matches the Rfam family "Bacterial large subunit ribosomal RNA", at positions 1639 to 2925 of the family's 2925-position model. RNAcentral also lists the same sequence under 1 other name. Lineage: Bacteria; Pseudomonadati; Pseudomonadota; Gammaproteobacteria; Enterobacterales; Enterobacteriaceae. The record is from RNAcentral.
AAAUCGUACCCCAAACCGACACAGGUGGUCAGGUAGAGAAUACCAAGGCGCUUGAGAGAACUCGGGUGAAGGAACUAGGCAAAAUGGUGCCGUAACUUCGGGAGAAGGCACGCUGAUAUGUAGGUGAAGCCCCUGCGGGUGGAGCUGAAAUCAGUCGAAGAUACCAGCUGGCUGCAACUGUUUAUUAAAAACACAGCACUGUGCAAACACGAAAGUGGACGUAUACGGUGUGACGCCUGCCCGGUGCCGGAAGGUUAAUUGAUGGGGUUAGCGGCAACGCGAAGCUCUUGAUCGAAGCCCCGGUAAACGGCGGCCGUAACUAUAACGGUCCUAAGGUAGCGAAAUUCCUUGUCGGGUAAGUUCCGACCUGCACGAAUGGCGUAAUGAUGGCCAGGCUGUCUCCACCCGAGACUCAGUGAAAUUGAACUCGCUGUGAAGAUGCAGUGUACCCGCGGCAAGACGGAAAGACCCCGUGAACCUUUACUAUAGCUUGACACUGAACACUGGUCCUUGAUGUGUAGGAUAGGUGGGAGGCUUUGAAGUGUGGACGCCAGUCUGCAUGGAGCCGUCCUUGAAAUACCACCCUUUAAUGGCUGGUGUUCUAACGUAGACCCGUAAUCCGGGUUGCGGACAGUGUCUGGUGGGUAGUUUGACUGGGGCGGUCUCCUCCCAAAGAGUAACGGAGGAGCACGAAGGUUAGCUAAUCCUGGUCGGACAUCAGGAGGUUAGUGCAAUGGCAUAAGCUAGCUUGACUGCGAGAGUGACGGCUCGAGCAGGUGCGAAAGCAGGUCAUAGUGAUCCGGUGGUUCUGAAUGGAAGGGCCAUCGCUCAACGGAUAAAAGGUACUCCGGGGAUAACAGGCUGAUACCGCCCAAGAGUUCAUAUCGACGGCGGUGUUUGGCACCUCGAUGUCGGCUCAUCACAUCCUGGGGCUGAAGUAGGUCCCAAGGGUAUGGCUGUUCGCCAUUUAAAGUGGUACGCGAGCUGGGUUUAGAACGUCGUGAGACAGUUCGGUCCCUAUCUGCCGUGGGCGCUGGAGAAUUGAGGGGGGCUGCUCCUAGUACGAGAGGACCGGAGUGGACGCAUCACUGGUGUUCGGGUUGUCAUGCCAAUGGCACUGCCCGGUAGCUAAAUGCGGAAAAGAUAAGUGCUGAAAGCAUCUAAGCACGAAACUUGCCCCGAGAUGAGUUCUCCCUGAGACUUUAAGUCUCCUGAAGGAACGUUGAAGACGACGACGUUGAUAGGUCGGGUGUGUAAGCGCAGCGAUGCGUUGAGCUAACCGAUACUAAUGAACCGUGAGGCUUAACCUU